RNAcentral lists this long non-coding RNA (598 nucleotides) under Heterocephalus glaber (naked mole-rat). Its description in RNAcentral is "lncRNA (ENSHGLG00000042481.1)". The record is from RNAcentral. Lineage: Eukaryota; Metazoa; Chordata; Mammalia; Rodentia; Bathyergidae.
CGGAGCACAGCGCCCGCGCCCCGCGCCCGGGCGGAGCAGCCAGCCCUUACCUUGCAGCGCCUGGGUCUGCCCGCUCGCUAAAGCUACUUAUCCCGGGAAAGCUCUCGUGGGGCCCAGGAGCGAACCCACAGACAAAAAGUGAAACUUCGGCAGGGCUGGAGCGGCUGCUGUAACCCACUUAUAAAGAAUAAUAGGGUUCUAAUGAGGAUUAAUAAAAUUUAAUAAGGUAUAAUUAGAGACCUUCAUUUCUUCCAUCAUACACCUUAUAAGAGCUGUACUGGAUCCAGAAAUGCUGCUAAUUGUGUUGAAACUGUUGUAUGGGUGUACUGGAGAAGAUCACUAUGAUUCUCCUGUGAGAUGUGAUUCUCCUGCGAGAUGCAUGAACUGCUCAGUAGGACAGUACCAGUCUGUGCUGUAAACCAGCCUCUGGAGGGUGUGAACUGGAGCCCAGCAGAUGGCAUCAGCCUUGGAACAGAGGUGAAACUUGAUAUGGUGAACUGUCAGUAGAGGGCUUUUUGUAAAUGGAGCAUUAAAGGUAAUGGAAAAGCUUACAAAAGUUUAUUCUCUGUUCUUCACACCUCAUGAUACAAUGGAGGGG